UGGAGGCUGCGACUGAGCCCAAAAGAACGAAGACUGCUUAGGAAGGCAGAGGAGAGUGUUAGGAGAAAGCCACAUUCCAUGCAAAGGUUUCCUAGGUGCAAAUGCAUAAAGCAUGCUGGGAAGCUGAGAGUAACUCAUCUGGCUAGAGAAGACUGCACUGAACACAUCUGAGGGAGAGAGGUGAUGAAAACACUGUUUAAAGAAAAUCAUUCCUUGUGGAUGCCAGAUGGAGUACAUUGGGAAACAACUGGAGGGCUCCAGAGGACUUCAGUGUGACAGACACAUGAGCAACAGCAAGAGCAGAGCAAGGCUGAAGUCUAGCCCUGCUUCUAGCUAACUGUAUACCUUUCACAGCAUCUUCAUUUUCUUUAUUCAAUCAGUUGUUUUCCUGCCCCUCAAUGAUAAGCAGUUUGGGAUCUCUGCUAAAUUUCUUAGGGAAUUAUGUGCUCCUGUGCAUCUGCUGUGUUUGUGUCCUCUUCUCACUGUCAUUUCCAAAACAAGGUUUCAAUAUAGUGCUGGGAUAUCCCCUGUGAGCAACAGUGAGCAAUAUCCCCUGCCUGCAACUGAAUAAGAGUAAAG
Molecule: long non-coding RNA, 579 nt
Filed under: Homo sapiens (human)
Lineage: Eukaryota; Metazoa; Chordata; Mammalia; Primates; Hominidae
Description: HSALNT0135147
Source: RNAcentral